GGUUAAGCGACUAAGCGUACACGGUGGAUGCCCUGGCAGUCAGAGGCGAUGAAGGACGUGCUAAUCUGCGAUAAGCGUCGGUAAGGUGAUAUGAACCGUUAUAACCGGCGAUUUCCGAAUGGGGAAACCCAGUGUGAUUCGUCACACUAUCAUUAACUGAAUCCAUAGGUUAAUGAGGCGAACCGGGGGAACUGAAACAUCUAAGUACCCCGAGGAAAAGAAAUCAACCGAGAUUCCCCCAGUAGCGGCGAGCGAACGGGGAGCAGCCCAGAGCCUGAAUCAGUGUGUGUGUUAGUGGAAGCGUCUGGAAAGGCGCGCGAUACAGGGUGACAGCCCCGUACACAAAAAUGCACAUACUGUGAGCUCGAUGAGUAGGGCGGGACACGUGGUAUCCUGUCUGAAUAUGGGGGGACCAUCCUCCAAGGCUAAAUACUCCUGACUGACCGAUAGUGAACCAGUACCGUGAGGGAAAGGCGAAAAGAACCCCGGCGAGGGGAGUGAAAAAGAACCUGAAACCGUGUACGUACAAGCAGUGGGAGCACAGAGCAAUCUGUGUGACUGCGUACCUUUUGUAUAAUGGGUCAGCGACUUAUAUUCUGUAGCAAGGUUAACCGAAUAGGGGAGCCGAAGGGAAACCGAGUCUUAACUGGGCGUUAAGUUGCAGGGUAUAGACCCGAAACCCGGUGAUCUAGCCAUGGGCAGGUUGAAGGUUGGGUAACACUAACUGGAGGACCGAACCGACUAAUGUUGAAAAAUUAGCGGAUGACUUGUGGCUGGGGGUGAAAGGCCAAUCAAACCGGGAGAUAGCUGGUUCUCCCCGAAAGCUAUUUAGGUAGCGCCUCGUGAAUUCAUCUCCGGGGGUAGAGCACUGUUUCGGCAAGGGGGUCAUCCCGACUUACCAACCCGAUGCAAACUGCGAAUACCGGAGAAUGUUAUCACGGGAGACACACGGCGGGUGCUAACGUCCGUCGUGAAGAGGGAAACAACCCAGACCGCCAGCUAAGGUCCCAAAGUCAUGGUUAAGUGGGAAACGAUGUGGGAAGGCCCAGACAGCCAGGAUGUUGGCUUAGAAGCAGCCAUCAUUUAAAGAAAGCGUAAUAGCUCACUGGUCGAGUCGGCCUGCGCGGAAGAUGUAACGGGGCUAAACCAUGCACCGAAGCUGCGGCAGCGACGCUGAUGCGUUGUUGGGUAGGGGAGCGUUCUGUAAGCCUGUGAAGGUGUGCUGUGAGGCAUGCUGGAGGUAUCAGAAGUGCGAAUGCUGACAUAAGUAACGAUAAAGCGGGUGAAAAGCCCGCUCGCCGGAAGACCAAGGGUUCCUGUCCAACGUUAAUCGGGGCAGGGUGAGUCGACCCCUAAGGCGAGGCCGAAAGGCGUAGUCGAUGGGAAACAGGUUAAUAUUCCUGUACUUGGUGUUACUGCGAAGGGGGGACGGAGAAGGCUAUGUUGGCCGGGCGACGGUUGUCCCGGUUUAAGCGUGUAGGCUGGUUUUCCAGGCAAAUCCGGAAAAUCAAGGCUGAGGCGUGAUGACGAGGCACUACGGUGCUGAAGCAACAAAUGCCCUGCUUCCAGGAAAAGCCUCUAAGCAUCAGGUAACAUCAAAUCGUACCCCAAACCGACACAGGUGGUCAGGUAGAGAAUACCAAGGCGCUUGAGAGAACUCGGGUGAAGGAACUAGGCAAAAUGGUGCCGUAACUUCGGGAGAAGGCACGCUGAUAUGUAGGUGAAGCGACUUGCUCGUGGAGCUGAAAUCAGUCGAAGAUACCAGCUGGCUGCAACUGUUUAUUAAAAACACAGCACUGUGCAAACACGAAAGUGGACGUAUACGGUGUGACGCCUGCCCGGUGCCGGAAGGUUAAUUGAUGGGGUUAGCGCAAGCGAAGCUCUUGAUCGAAGCCCCGGUAAACGGCGGCCGUAACUAUAACGGUCCUAAGGUAGCGAAAUUCCUUGUCGGGUAAGUUCCGACCUGCACGAAUGGCGUAAUGAUGGCCAGGCUGUCUCCACCCGAGACUCAGUGAAAUUGAACUCGCUGUGAAGAUGCAGUGUACCCGCGGCAAGACGGAAAGACCCCGUGAACCUUUACUAUAGCUUGACACUGAACAUUGAGCCUUGAUGUGUAGGAUAGGUGGGAGGCUUUGAAGUGUGGACGCCAGUCUGCAUGGAGCCGACCUUGAAAUACCACCCUUUAAUGUUUGAUGUUCUAACGUUGACCCGUAAUCCGGGUUGCGGACAGUGUCUGGUGGGUAGUUUGACUGGGGCGGUCUCCUCCUAAAGAGUAACGGAGGAGCACGAAGGUUGGCUAAUCCUGGUCGGACAUCAGGAGGUUAGUGCAAUGGCAUAAGCCAGCUUGACUGCGAGCGUGACGGCGCGAGCAGGUGCGAAAGCAGGUCAUAGUGAUCCGGUGGUUCUGAAUGGAAGGGCCAUCGCUCAACGGAUAAAAGGUACUCCGGGGAUAACAGGCUGAUACCGCCCAAGAGUUCAUAUCGACGGCGGUGUUUGGCACCUCGAUGUCGGCUCAUCACAUCCUGGGGCUGAAGUAGGUCCCAAGGGUAUGGCUGUUCGCCAUUUAAAGUGGUACGCGAGCUGGGUUUAGAACGUCGUGAGACAGUUCGGUCCCUAUCUGCCGUGGGCGCUGGAGAACUGAGGGGGGCUGCUCCUAGUACGAGAGGACCGGAGUGGACGCAUCACUGGUGUUCGGGUUGUCAUGCCAAUGGCACUGCCCGGUAGCUAAAUGCGGAAGAGAUAAGUGCUGAAAGCAUCUAAGCACGAAACUUGCCCCGAGAUGAGUUCUCCCUGACCCUUUAAGGGUCCUGAAGGAACGUUGAAGACGACGACGUUGAUAGGCCGGGUGUGUAAGCGCAGCGAUGCGUUGAGCUAACCGGUACUAAUGAACCGUGAGGCUUAACCUU
Molecule: ribosomal RNA, 2906 nt
Filed under: Escherichia coli
Lineage: Bacteria; Pseudomonadati; Pseudomonadota; Gammaproteobacteria; Enterobacterales; Enterobacteriaceae
Description: 23S ribosomal RNA
Rfam family: Bacterial large subunit ribosomal RNA
Source: RNAcentral